RNAcentral lists this unclassified non-coding RNA (253 nucleotides) under uncultured Bacillota bacterium. Its description in RNAcentral is "uncultured Firmicutes bacterium contains 16S-23S intergenic spacer region". It matches the Rfam family "Bacterial small subunit ribosomal RNA", at positions 524 to 776 of the family's 1533-position model. Lineage: Bacteria; Bacillati; Bacillota. The record is from RNAcentral.
AACGUAGUGGGCAAGCGUUGUCCGGAAUUACUGGGCGUACAGGGUGCGUAGGCGGCUAUUUAAGUCCUGUGUGAAGUGCCCCGGCUUAACCGGGGAGGGCCAUGGGAAACUGGAUGGCUUGAGUGUCGGAGAGGGUUGCGGAAUUCCCAGUGUAGCGGUGAAAUGCGUAGAUAUUGGGAAGAACACCAGUGGCGAAGGCGGCAACCUGGACGAUAACUGACGCUGAGGCACGACAGCUGGGGGAGCGAACAGG